UCGUAUUCCCUUGGCAUCCGCCACGUCUCCCCUGCCCGCUGUUGUCCUGUCAGGCUGUCGAUGUAUGCGUGACGGAGUGCACCGCUUCGGCCCUCGCGGGCUCGCUCGCUGCGUUGAUUGCGUUGAAGGGGAGACGACAGUGCAGUGCGCAGACACGCACACAAUCCAAGGCACGCUCUCAUUCACGGCUCGAGCGCCGUCCCAGCCGCCAUCCCUCUGCCGUCGCUGUCCGCGUCGCUGUGGGUCCGCUUGCUCCCCGGUGCGCCGCUCACGCCAUCACGCCAGCCGCCGUUCAGACCCCGCUCAAUCCCCCCCCAACGGCCACUGCCACCAUCACCACCCCACACACGCACGGACACACACAGCGUCGUCCUCGGCGACGUCCCUUGUCGUGCCCCCUCUGCUGUGCAGCACCCCUGCGCGUCGUUGUGUGGCUCACAGCAGUGUCGGUGCGACGCCGCACUGGGCGGGCGAAACGACUCGCACGGGGGAGGGCGGCCGCUGCUGCUGCUCCCCUGCGCCAUGCCUGUCGCAUUGUUUGGGGUGGCCCCCUCUCCACGGGGCCCUCGUGGGGGCGCUGCGGCCUCUCGUGGGAGGACGGGCGUGCACGCGGGCUCCGAUGGGCCCCCUUGUCUCUGCGCCUGGCUUGCUGGCCUCGCUCAGUGUCCCGCGGCCAGCCGUGCUGCGUCAGCGCACCCCUGCCCAGCUCAUGCGAACUGCGCACCCGUCAAGAGGCGACGGUGGCGAAAGGCGCGCGUGUGGCACGAGCACACACGCCGUCACUGCUGCCGUGGUGCCCACUCGCUUUCCUUGGUCCCUUGCAUGCAGCGUGCCUGCCUCGCUCUCAGCGAGGCGAAGUACUUUGCGAGGGGCGGACGGCAGGAGCGCCAACCAAAACUGCACAGAAGACGCGCUGCUGUGCGCGGUGGCGGUGCCGCUGGUGGUAGUCUGAACACCCGAGCAGCAGCUCAUGCGGCGGCGGACGCGGAAGGCGCACACUCCGUGCACGGAGUCUACUCCAACGUGCGCGGUGCAGCGCGACAUCACGUGACGGUCUCUGGUACUGCUGCCACCGGCGCGAGAGACAGAGACGCGGUCCUGCUGCGUCUCUCCGACUCGGAUACGGCGCAGGACGGGCUUCGGCCCGGUCAAGCAAGGGAGGGGGCGGUGGGUGGUCGAACGGCGUCUCCCGUGGGUGGAGGUGGUGUGACGCGGGAGUGCACCACGACGGCCGUUGCCGCCCCGAAAGCCGCCGUGAGCACGAGCGUCGGUCGUGCCGACCGCACAGACUCUGCCGCCGCCGCGCGUACCCCCGACCGCGCUUCGCACGGCCGUCAGCGUGGUCGUCGGAAGCGGCGCCGAUCCGCGCGACAACAGCGAGAAUCUCCAGAACCCACGGCCGCCGCAGACAUCAUCUGUCAUGUUGGACCCCACGCAAGCGAAAGCGGUCGAUUUGGCUGUACGCGGCUUCAACAUCUUCGUGACGGGCGGCGCUGGAACGGGCAAGUCGCAGACGCUGCGUGCCAUCGUAGCGGCGCUGCGAAGUCGCGAGGUGCACGAGUCUGAGGAGACCUUGCGUGCGGUGGCGAGCGCGGCCGAUUCGCCACAGCGGGGUGGCAGCGGCCGGCGUGCGGGCGCGAGGGAGUCGGAUGUGGCGCGAGAGGAGGGGCGGAGCGUGCAGCGUGGUUUCGCAGAGCCAUCACCGCCGUCUCGCCUGUCCGAACUCUCGCGCGCCACCACAUCCGUGUCGAGGUCGAGCCCGCGCUCCUCUUCGGCCGCCCGCGCUGUGCCGGCCCUGAGCAGCGUCUGCGCCACCGCCACGACGGGACUGGCAGCGAUGCAGCUGCACGGCGUGGCCAUCAACACGUUUGCCGGCGUCGGACCUGGUCGUGGAACCCCGGGGCAGCCGCUUCGCACGGUGCAGAAGAACGCGGAGGCGGCGCAGCGCUGGCGCCGAUGCCGCGUCCUGCUCAUUGAUGAGGUCAGCAUGCCGGAAGCCUCGCUCUUGGAGCCGCUCGACUACAUCGCACAUCGAGUGCGUCGAUGCACCAACGUGCCCUCUGGCGGCAUGCAGGUGAUCUUGUGCGGCGUCUCUUUCCAGCUGCCACCGAAUGCAGCCCGCGGGGGGGGCUGUGGUGCUGGCGAACGACCUCCUCGUCUCGCCCGUUAUGGACGCGGCGCCGCAAGCGCGUGGGCGCCCGCUGCCUCUCUCCCUCCCCCACCACCUCCCCUCGCACCCUCCCUUGCCUCUCCCUGUCCCCUCCCUCCCCAG
This 2272-nucleotide unclassified non-coding RNA is filed under the name Leishmania donovani. RNAcentral describes it as "gene:unknown". The record is from RNAcentral. Lineage: Eukaryota; Euglenozoa; Kinetoplastea; Trypanosomatida; Trypanosomatidae.